UGAAAACGCUUAAACCAAAUUUGUGCUA
Molecule: non-coding RNA, 28 nt
Filed under: Bombyx mori (domestic silkworm)
Lineage: Eukaryota; Metazoa; Arthropoda; Insecta; Lepidoptera; Bombycidae
Source: RNAcentral